AGAAUCUCGUCCACAAAAGAUUUUGCUUCAGUCCCUCCCAAGGCAACACAGUCAUUGGUCGUUAUAAGAUGAUGAUGGCGGCAGACGACUGAUCCGCCGAUGCUGACUGCAGCUCAGGGUGCUGUCCCGCAGAGCCCGAGCCCGCUGAAUGGAGGCUGAGAAUAGAGCGCGGCGCCGGAAUGCCUAUAUAUGGAGCACUCAGAGUCGCAGAGGUCGCAAAAGAGGGGGCGUUCCGUACCUGAUGACGUAGUUGCUGCUGCUGAUGGGGACGUCUCCGGGCUGGAGCUGGAGCACCAUGUAGAGCCAAACCCACGUCUGGUCCCGAGCUUGCAGGCGCACGACCAUCUCGGCUCGGCCUUCUCCUCCCUCUCGCACUUUUGGCACUAAGUAGGCUUGGUGUUGCUGUUCCUGCGUACACAUCGUGCGGGUGGAGGAGGCUGUACCAGGAGCAGGCGGAUAACAUGGCCGCGUCGUAGCCCAGAUAAGAGUGCACACUGCCAGGGGACACGGAUGGAAAUGACCGGGUCAGAGCACCUUUCGUUACUGGAUCAACA
Syngnathoides biaculeatus (alligator pipefish) is the source of this 554-nucleotide long non-coding RNA. RefSeq lists it as uncharacterized. Lineage: Eukaryota; Metazoa; Chordata; Actinopteri; Syngnathiformes; Syngnathidae. The transcript has 6 exons. The record is from RefSeq and is a predicted model, not a curated record.